Acanthosepion pharaonis is the source of this 111-nucleotide non-coding RNA. The record is from the annotation of a GenBank genome assembly. NCBI's taxonomy places the organism in Eukaryota, Metazoa, Mollusca, Cephalopoda, Sepiida, Sepiidae.
CGGACACAUCGCGUUGUAACACCAGUUCCCGUACGAUCACUGAAGUUAAGCAACCUCAAGCCUCGUCAUUAUUUAGAUGGGUUAACGCUUAGAAAUACCAGAUGCUGUAAG